Molecule: long non-coding RNA, 2116 nt
Organism: Carya illinoinensis
Lineage: Eukaryota; Viridiplantae; Streptophyta; Magnoliopsida; Fagales; Juglandaceae
Exons: 3
Source: RefSeq, a predicted model, not a curated record
UGGAAAAAAGACGUUUUUAUCUACUACUAGCUCUGGAGAUCGAUCACCGGAGCCUGAAGCUUCAGAACGAGGUUUUUGUUAUAAAUAUUCGUAAAGCGUGGAUGACUGCACAUUCAAAUGCACACAUUGCUCUGCUAUGUGAUCAAACCUCUCCUAUAAAUAGAAGAGGUCUAAUGGAGAAUGGGCGUAUUGGAGUGAAGUGAAGUGAAGAAAGAAAGAAGAGACCGCACGUGGAAGUUCUGGAGGCUCAGAUGCAAGAGGGUUAUCUCCCAGAGUUAGAGCAAGAAUAUUUUCGUACAAAAGCAGAGUUAGAGAUAUGAUGUGGGAAAACAGGGAAGAACUCUGUUUGUCUCAACAGGCAAAAAAGAAAUGGCUUACGGUAGGAGACCUCAACUCAAAAUUUUAUCAUGCCGUGAUAAAUCAUUAACGUAGAAAGGCUUCCGUAGUCUCAAAAAUGGCCCUUCCAAAUGGGGUUGUCUUGGAUUCUCGGGAGGAGAUUCAUAAUGCAGCAGUGGAUUACUCUCAAGAUUUUCUCACGGGGGAGGGUCCUACGGGGUCGCCAGAUUUAUGUGGUUUAUUAACAUUGGUGGUGAAUGAGGAGGACAACCAAGAGCUUGUUAAGGAGCCUACGGAGGAGGAGGUUUAGAAGGCAUUGUCUUCUAUUCCUAAAUAAAGCAGCCCAGGCCAGAUGGUUUUGGCUCUGAAUUUUAUAUGCAGUGUUGGUCUAUUGUUAAACGGGAUGUGAUAGAAGCUGCUCGUGAAUUUUUUCGAGGACUAAUGGAGUUUAGGGCAAGAACGACCUUUCUAGCGCUGUGGAGAACCUGAAGGGCUGAGAGGAAAUCUCUAGUUUGUGUUGCUGAUAAUUAUACCUACCGGUUUCAUAUUUUCGAUGUCCUGCCCCUGCGCAAACAGGUGAGAAUUAAACUUGAUUCAACUAUGCGUACAUAUACAUCAUAUUAGUGUUAUGUUAUGCUUUUGGAUGUCAGAAAUAAAUGGAACCUGAUUUGGUGUUAGAUUAGUGUUGGAUUGGAUUUGAUUGUGUAUGGAGGAAGGGUUGUAUUGGUAUGCUUGGUUGGGUAAUGUGAUUGUGUAUGCUUGUGUUACUUGUUUGUUACUUCUAAUGCAUGAUGCAAUGCAGGAUCUGAACACGUAUCUCAAUAUUUGAGUGUUGUAAUUUUGUUAAGGAGUAAUACUUGGGUCCUUUCUGUGUCUUAGGGUGCUGUCAGUUAAUUUAAUUGAUCUUUUUUGGGCUUUGUAUAGACCUUUUACUCUCAAAUAAGCUGCUGAAGCUGCUUGCACUAUGCUUCGUGUAUACCAAGUAGUUGAACAUGAGAAGGUGUCAUUUCAUUUUGCUUAUAUUCUUUUUGGUUGAAUCUUUUGUCAAUGAAACUCAAGAAGUCUAUUUUUUUUUUCUUGGAACUAUGGUGCCAUUUCUUUUCUUGAAGAUGAUGACAAGAGAAGUCGUUUGGAACUCAAGUAUACAUUUGAGAUCAAAAGAGCAAUUAGAUGAGUUUUGCCAAUACAAUUGUGUUUUUAUUCUUUUAUAUUUCUUUCUCUCUUUCUUUCCCCUCUUGUGAACUGCAUACAUGUUUGUGUUGGUAGUAAUUUAGUUGAAUGUUGAUUAGUAGGUGUGAAACAAUAUCAAUUUUUUCUUUUUAUAAUUAUUUUUUUUACGGCAUUCAAGGAUGUUCUUGAUUCGGGAUUUUUCAGUUCAAACUUGAGUACCAAAGGCCUGGAUACAUGGGCUUGUCCCUGUAAAAGUAGGUAUAUAAUGUACUUGAGUUAUUUAGAGGUAAUCAUAAAUUUGAUUGAUAAUAUCAAUAGGCAUCGUCCAAAAACAUGGGUUGUAUGUAGGAGCUUAGUAUUCUUACAAGUUGUGUCGAGGAUUCGAGAAUAUUGCCUUCUGAUUGUGAACCAUAUUCACGAAAUCCUCCUCGAUUAUAGGAUAUAUUUCUAGGUGAUAGUUUCCAUAGUUGUGUAAUAUACGAUUGUAAAUCCUUCCAUAUCUGUACAAAUUGUCAACGAUUGUAAAUCUUUCCAUAAGAUGACUUUUUCUGCUUUUACAAUUUUUUUUUUAUGAAUUCUUUUAUAUGUGAUAUUUAGUAAUUUAGUUGAA